Molecule: long non-coding RNA, 823 nt
Organism: Talpa occidentalis (Iberian mole)
Lineage: Eukaryota; Metazoa; Chordata; Mammalia; Eulipotyphla; Talpidae
Exons: 3
Source: RefSeq, a predicted model, not a curated record
CGCUGCUCGGGUCCGGCCCCGCCGGCCCCGGUGCUCUCCGUAGUGGGAACCCCGUAGUGGAAAAAUGUAACUUUUGCGCGAUCACAGGUUCUGAGAAUCGCAUAAAGGUGCUUUCAAACAAAAUCAUUCUCCACAAGGAAAUGAAAUCAUUGUGUUUCACAUAAAGGUUUCCUUUAAGGUGCAAAAUAUUUUAAGUAUCAAAGGAGUAGGAAGAUGGUAAAGGAGAGAAGACACACGAGAAAUAAGAGCUUCAUAAAUGGAAAAUGAUUGGAGAGUUUUGAAUAAAAUAAAAUUGGUAUUUACUUUGUAAAAAACUGGAUAGGAAAAUUAUUGCAGAGUUAAAAGCAGACUUCUGUUGAUACAGGAUCUCUGCAUACCUGAUGGCCAGGUUUGCUGCAUCUCAUUGUUGUCAGUAUCCAAAGAAGCGCUGGCAUAAUUAUUCAGUUCUUUGCUAAAUGCUUACAUGUCACCCAGUACUUCAGAAGAUGAAGAAGGAAGGAAUGCAAGUCAGGAAUUUUGGGGUUCAUUUGCACAAAGCUGGGAGAAAGGACUGUGUCUUUAAACACUUUUUUUUUUUCCUUCCUGCUUGGGUUUGUACCUUUGGCUGAAGAGUGCACAUCCCUAAUGUCAGUCAAGGGGACAGGCUUGCUAUCCCUCACAUUUUCUGUGGUCUCCUUAGACUCUGCUUCUAGAGUGGCAAGCAUUCCUCUAUAGCUCUGCCAAAGAGAGGGAAGAAAGGCGGUCAGUCUCACAGCAAUCCCCAUUCUUCUUUGUUUGCAGUCCCUGUAUCAGGAGGGUUUAAAAAAUUAGAAAUAAAAUUAUU